AGAGUUUGAUCCUGGCUCAGAUUGAACGCUGGCGGAACGCUUUACACAUGCAAGUCGAACGGUAACGCGGAGAGAAGCUUGCUUCUCUCCGGCGACGAGUGGCGAACGGGUGAGUAAUACAUCGGAACGUGUCCGCUCGUGGGGGACAACCAGCCGAAAGGUUGGCUAAUACCGCAUGAGUUCUACGGAAGAAAGAGGGGGACCCGCAAGGGCCUCUCGCGAGCGGAGCGGCCGAUGACUGAUUAGCCGGUUGGUGAGGUAACGGCUCACCAAAGCAACGAUCAGUAGCUGGUCUGAGAGGACGACCAGCCACACUGGGACUGAGACACGGCCCAGACUCCUACGGGAGGCAGCAGUGGGGAAUUUUGGACAAUGGGCGCAAGCCUGAUCCAGCUAUUCCGCGUGUGGGAUGAAGGCCCUCGGGUUGUAAACCACUUUUGUAGAGAACGAAAAGACACCUUCGAAUAAAGGGUGUUGCUGACGGUACUCUAAGAAUAAGCACCGGCUAACUACGUGCCAGCAGCCGCGGUAAUACGUAGGGUGCGAGCGUUAAUCGGAAUUACUGGGCGUAAAGGGUGCGCAGGCGGUUGAGUAAGACAGAUGUGAAAUCCCCGAGCUUAACUCGGGAAUGGCAUAUGUGACUGCUCGACUAGAGUGUGUCAGAGGGAGGUGGAAUUCCACGUGUAGCAGUGAAAUGCGUAGAUAUGUGGAAGAACACCGAUGGCGAAGGCAGCCUCCUGGGACAUAACUGACGCUCAGGCACGAAAGCGUGGGGAGCAAACAGGAUUAGAUACCCUGGUAGUCCACGCCCUAAACGAUGUUAACUAGUUGUUGGGAAGUAAUAUUCUCAGUAACGCAGCCAACGCGAGAAGUUAACCGCCUGGGAAGUACGGUCGCAAGACUAAAACUCAAAGGAAUUGACGGGGACCCGCACAAGCGGUGGAUGAUGUGGAUUAAUUCGAUGCAACGCGAAAAACCUUACCUACCCUUGACAUGUCAGGAAGCUCUUGUAAUGAGAGUGUGCCCGCAAGGGAGCCUGAAC
RNAcentral lists this ribosomal RNA (1042 nucleotides) under human gut metagenome. Its description in RNAcentral is "bacterial SSU rRNA". It matches the Rfam family "Bacterial small subunit ribosomal RNA", at positions 8 to 1033 of the family's 1533-position model. The record is from RNAcentral.